This 476-nucleotide ribosomal RNA is filed under the name uncultured organism. RNAcentral's name for it is "partial 16S ribosomal RNA". It matches the Rfam family "Bacterial small subunit ribosomal RNA", at positions 332 to 799 of the family's 1533-position model. The record is from RNAcentral.
UACACUCCUACGGGAGGCAGCAGUGGGGAAUUUUGGACAAUGGGCGAAAGCCUGAUCCAGCAAUGCCGCGUGUGUGAAGAAGGCCUUCGGGUUGUAAAGCACUUUUGUCCGGAAAGAAAUCCUUGGCUCUAAUACAGUCGGGGGAUGACGGUACCGGAAGAAUAAGCACCGGCUAACUACGUGCCAGCAGCCGCGGUAAUACGUAGGGUGCGAGCGUUAAUCGGAAUUACUGGGCGUAAAGCGUGCGCAGGCGGUUUGCUAAGACCGAUGUGAAAUCCCCGGGCUCAACCUGGGAACUGCAUUGGUGACUGGCAGGCUAGAGUAUGGCAGAGGGGGGUAGAAUUCCACGUGUAGCAGUGAAAUGCGUAGAGAUGUGGAGGAAUACCGAUGGCGAAGGCAGCCCCCUGGGCCAAUACUGACGCUCAUGCACGAAAGCGUGGGGAGCAAACAGGAUUAGAAACCCGAGUAGUCCCAUG